CUCUUCGGAUUGACGUCACCUGGCGCAUGCCCAGUUGAUCUGCACCUUCCCGGCGCUGGCUGCAUUUUCGGGCGCCCGGGAAGAGUUGGUGGUGAAGAAGAACCCGGAAGUGCACCGUCUUGCCUCCUUCGUCCAAACAGGAAGGCUGACCUCAUGAUAGUGAAUAAGUCUCACGAGAUCUGAUGGUUUUAUAAAGGAGAGUUCCCCCGCCCACGCUCUCGCCUGCUGCCGUGAAAGACGUGACUUUGCUUCUCCUUUGCCUUCUGCCAUAAUUGUGGGGCCUCCCCAGCCAUGUGGAACGGAUUUGCCAUGGGGAGCAUAGAGAGCAAGAGGGUGAGUAAUUGACAUCUCCAAAUCCCAACGGGAAUCAGGAUCUUUCAUGUUAUGUUCCUUCAGGUUAAAGACUUUCUAUUAUUUUUGUAUUAUUUCCUGUAUAAUGUCCAGCACUGUAUUAGGUAAAAUAAGUAUUAUGGACCUAUUUCUUGAAUGCAUGUCCCAGUGACUAUGAGGUUUUUACCUCCUGACUAUUGCCCCAAAUUGUCCUUUAUUGUUUUUAUUAUUUUCUAAAAAGAAACUUAGCUAAAAUCGGAUCGUAAGCCUUUAGAGGAAGCAGAGUAAAAGAGUUUUCAUUUAAUCAAACAGAUUCUGGGCCCUAACCCCAUGCACAUAUCACCAUCACCUGCUUUUACUUAAUGUUCCCCAAAAACAAAAACAAAUAAAUAUUCUUGUUACAAUACAGGAACAACAUUAGCCUUGGGGUAUCACCACAGGUCAUUGUUACUUCCAGCAAAAGGCAAGAUUUGGAACAGAAAUCCAAACAAUUAUCCAUUCAUUUUGAAUGUGAUCCUAAUGAUUCUGCUUAGAGAAAGGUUAGAUGACCUCUUACUUUUCCUUUCAAUUAUGAUUGCAUGAUGACAAAUUUAGAGCCAAGGGGAUUUUUGAAAUACUGGCUAAAUUCCCGUGCAAACAAUACAUUAAAAAAAAAAAAAAAAGUGUUGAAAUGACUCCAGAAGCUGUGCCCACUUUUGCAAGAUUAAUUUUGCAAACACACAGUUGAUACAUGCUCCUUCACGGUCUCAAGUACUACAUACGGCAAAAAUGU
Long non-coding RNA from Piliocolobus tephrosceles (Ugandan red Colobus), 1102 nucleotides. RefSeq lists it as uncharacterized. The record is from RefSeq and is a predicted model, not a curated record. Lineage: Eukaryota; Metazoa; Chordata; Mammalia; Primates; Cercopithecidae. The transcript is spliced from 3 exons.